RNAcentral lists this long non-coding RNA (1116 nucleotides) under Polistes fuscatus (common paper wasp). RNAcentral's name for it is "uncharacterized LOC122522140". Lineage: Eukaryota; Metazoa; Arthropoda; Insecta; Hymenoptera; Vespidae. The record is from RNAcentral.
UUUAUUAAUUAAAACUUAUAUUUGAAAAUGUAUGUAUAAAUAUAAAAAAAAGAAAAAGAAGUCGAAUGGUAAGAUGUUUGAAUUUGGCGCGAGAAAGGGUAGUAAAAAACGGCGCUAUCGCGAGCGGCUCGUUCGAUUGGCUGAUGAAUCGAUCAAUAAUGGCGAGUAGACCGCGACGUAAGAACGAUCUCUUUUCGCGAUUGGCGCGUACCUUACACCGCAUCCUAUUAUUUAUUAAAGCUUGGUGACUCAUUUUUUGAAUUUCCUUUUUUCUUCUUCUAUCACCACUUGCGAGAGGUUAUAUUCGAUCUAGGGGAAAAAUAAAUCAUAAAACGAUCUAAUAACGAAAUAAGAAUAAAAAGAAAAGAAAAUAUACAAAAUAAAGAAGAACAAGAAUAAUAAUAAUAAGAAGAAAGUUUUCGAUCAUCUAGCGAUUGCAAGGUUUGUGGACCGGUGUAAGGGGUGGCUAAAAAAAGAAAGAAAGAGAGAGAGAGAAAUAGAGAGGGGGUGACAUGCCUCGGGGCGACAAGCGCCCUUUCCUACGUCUUCCCACCCCUCCUAGGGAAAUCCCCACUAUCCCACCAUACCACCACACCACAUACUAUCACAGUACUAACACAUAUCAUUAGAUUCGUCACACACAUUUGUUCAGAAUUCGUGGCGGUAGCCGGUGUUCGUUAUAUUGGUGGUAGUGGUAAGCCGAUAGUAGGAGUGGUGGGGAUUUGGUGGUCAGGUGGGAGCGGUCAGAAAGGUGGAAGGAGUUUGCUGGUGGUGGACGAGAGACGUUCGUUUGUUCGUUCCUCGCGCAACCGCGUUCGCACGCAAGUGCGACAAAGUACACCCUCUUCUCUCCCCGGGAGGGGCGUCUAAAGGUGCGGUGGUUCGAGGGAGGGAGAAACUAGAGAGACAGAGAGGGAGUGAGAGAGAAGGAGAUAGAGUGAUAGAGAGUCGAGUAGUGGGAGAAAGGGAGAGAAGGACACCGUAUCGUCAGCGAGAGUAGUACCAAUCGCGAGUCGAGUCGACGGAUAUAAUCGUGGCCGUCGAGGGAAGCGCAUUCGAAGGGUCGUCGUCGUCGCGCGUUUCCAACUAACUAAUAAUAAUAAUAAUAAUCAUUAU